This 588-nucleotide ribosomal RNA is filed under the name uncultured bacterium. RNAcentral describes it as "bacterial SSU rRNA". It matches the Rfam family "Bacterial small subunit ribosomal RNA", at positions 102 to 685 of the family's 1533-position model. The record is from RNAcentral.
ACGGGUGAGUAAUGCUUAGGAAUCUGCCUAUUAGUGGGGGACAACAUCUCGAAAGGGAUGCUAAUACCGCAUACGUCCUACGGGAGAAAGCAGGGGACCUUCGGGCCUUGCGCUAAUAGAUGAGCCUAAGUCGGAUUAGCUAGUUGGUGGGGUAAAGGCCUACCAAGGCGACGAUCUGUAGCGGGUCUGAGAGGAUGAUCCGCCACACUGGGACUGAGACACGGCCCAGACUCCUACGGGGGGCAGCAGUGGGGAAUAUUGGACAAUGGGGGGAACCCUGAUCCAGCCAUGCCGCGUGUGUGAAGAAGGCCUUUUGGUUGUAAAGCACUUUAAGCGAGGAGGAGGCUACCGAGAUUAAUACUCUUGGAUAGUGGACGUUACUCGCAGAAUAAGCACCGGCUAACUCUGUGCCAGCAGCCGCGGUAAUACAGAGGGUGCAAGCGUUAAUCGGAUUUACUGGGCGUAAAGCGCGCGUAGGUGGCCAAUUAAGUCAAAUGUGAAAUCCCCGAGCUUAACUUGGGAAUUGCAUUCGAUACUGGUUGGCUAGAGUAUGGGAGAGGAUGGUAGAAUUCCAGGUGUAGCGGUGAA